This 497-nucleotide ribosomal RNA is filed under the name uncultured bacterium. Its description in RNAcentral is "partial 16S ribosomal RNA". It matches the Rfam family "Bacterial small subunit ribosomal RNA", at positions 28 to 507 of the family's 1533-position model. The record is from RNAcentral.
GAUGAACGCUGGCGGCGUGCCUAAUACAUGCAAGUCGUGCGAACAGACGAGGAGCUUGCUCCUCUGACGUUAGCGGCGGACGGGUGAGUAACACGUGGAUAACCUACCUAUAAGACUGGGAUAACUUCGGGAAACCGGAGCUAAUACCGGAUAAUAUAUUGAACCGCAUGGUUCAAUAGUGAAAGACGGUUUUGCUGUCACUUAUAGAUGGAUCCGCGCCGCAUUAGCUAGUUGGUAAGGUAACGGCUUACCAAGGCAACGAUGCGUAGCCGACCUGAGAGGGUGAUCGGCCACACUGGAACUGAGACACGGUCCAGACUCCUACGGGAGGCAGCAGUAGGGAAUCUUCCGCAAAGGGCGAAAGCCUGACGGAGCAACGCCGCGUGAGUGAUGAAGGUCUUCGGAUCGUAAAACUCUGUUAUUAGGGAAGAACAAAUGUGUAAGUAACUAUGCACGUCUUGACGGUACCUAAUCAGAAAGCCACGGCUAACUACGUG